Molecule: ribosomal RNA, 253 nt
Filed under: uncultured bacterium
Lineage: Bacteria
Description: partial 16S ribosomal RNA
Rfam family: Bacterial small subunit ribosomal RNA
Source: RNAcentral
UACGUAGGGGGCAAGCGUUGUUCGGAAUUACUGGGCGUAAAGGGCGCGUAGGCGGCACAGCAAGUCGGGAGUGAAAGCCCGGGGCUCAACCCCGGAACGUCUUUCGAAACUGCUGAGCUCGAGUGCGGAAGAGGCAACUGGAAUUCCCAGUGUAGCGGUGAAAUGCGUAGAUAUUGGGAAGAACACCUGAGGCGAAGGCGGGUUGCUGGGCAGUUACUGACACUGAGGCGCGACAGCGUGGGGAGCAAACAGG